Molecule: non-coding RNA, 100 nt
Organism: Acanthosepion pharaonis
Lineage: Eukaryota; Metazoa; Mollusca; Cephalopoda; Sepiida; Sepiidae
Source: the annotation of a GenBank genome assembly
CAUUGAAACACCGGUUCUCGUACGAUCACCGAAGUUAAGCAAUAUCGAAUUUUCUCACUAUAUAGAUGGGUGACCGCUUGGGAAUAGAAGGUGCUGUAUG